GAUGAACGCUGGCGGCGUGCCUAAUACAUGCAAGUCGAACGGGGAGUCCCUAUUCGCGUUGUGGCGGACGGGUGAGUAACGCGUUGGUACCUGGCUGGACUGGGGUGAUAACGGGCCGAAGGAUCCGCCAAUACCUCAUGUACUCGGUAAUGGCUAAAGGUGGAGACCACGUUGGGAGGGGCUUGCGUCCCAUCAGGUGGUUGGUAGGGUAAAGCCUGUCGAAGGCGUGGACGGGUAGGGGGACGGAGAGGGGGGCCCCCCACAAUGGAACGGGACCACGCUCCAUACACCUACGGGUGGAGGCGGUAGGGAAUAUUGGGAAUGGGCGCAAGCCUGACCCAGCAACGCCGCGUGUGAGAGGACGGCCUUCGGGGUGUAAAGCCCUUUUGACGGGGACGAGGAAGGACGGUACCGGUCGAAGAAGCCCCGGCUAACUACGUG
Molecule: ribosomal RNA, 441 nt
Filed under: uncultured bacterium
Lineage: Bacteria
Description: partial 16S ribosomal RNA
Rfam family: Bacterial small subunit ribosomal RNA
Source: RNAcentral